UACGAAGGGGGCUAGCGUUGUUCGGAUUUACUGGGCGUAAAGCGCACGUAGGCGGAUUGUUAAGUCAGGGGUGAAAUCCUGGAGCUCAACUCCAGAACUGCCUUUGAUACUGGCAAUCUUGAGUCCGGAAGAGGUGAGUGGAACUCCUAGUGUAGAGGUGGAAUUCGUAGAUAUUAGGAAGAACACCAGUGGCGAAGGCGGCUUCCUGGACACCAACUGACGCUGAGACGCGAAAGCGUGGGGAGCAAACAGG
This 253-nucleotide ribosomal RNA is filed under the name uncultured bacterium. RNAcentral's name for it is "partial 16S ribosomal RNA". It matches the Rfam family "Bacterial small subunit ribosomal RNA", at positions 524 to 776 of the family's 1533-position model. The record is from RNAcentral.